CAGUCGCCGCGGGAAAACGAAGGGGGCUAGCGUUGUUCGGAUUUACUGGGCGUAAAGCGCACGUAGGCGGAUCGAUCAGUCAGGGGUGAAAUCCCAGAGCUCAACUCUGGAACUGCCUUUGAUACUGUCGAUCUGGAGUAUGGAAGAGGUGAGUGGAAUUCCGAGUGUAGAGGUGAAAUUCGUAGAUAUUCGGAGGAACACCAGUGGCGAAGGCGGCUCACUGGUCCAUUACUGACGCUGAGGUGCGAAAGCGUGGGGAGCAAACAGGAUUAGAUACCCCGGUAGUCCCUGUCUCUUAUAC
RNAcentral lists this ribosomal RNA (301 nucleotides) under uncultured bacterium. RNAcentral describes it as "partial 16S ribosomal RNA". It matches the Rfam family "Bacterial small subunit ribosomal RNA", at positions 509 to 807 of the family's 1533-position model. The record is from RNAcentral.